Lathyrus oleraceus (garden pea) is the source of this 613-nucleotide long non-coding RNA. RefSeq lists it as uncharacterized. NCBI's taxonomy places the organism in Eukaryota, Viridiplantae, Streptophyta, Magnoliopsida, Fabales, Fabaceae. The transcript has 2 exons. The record is from RefSeq and is a predicted model, not a curated record.
AAAUAGCAAAUAAUUAGGGACCUGCGACUAUUAGUGGAAAAAAUGAUAGUAGUAUUUAGAACCAUUGAAUUACAAAUAUAGGGGUAACAGUGCUUUUCGCUUAAUUGGUCUUGAAAAUUAGCGAAGGAGAUUCUGUUAUUUGGCUCUGCCAAUUCCAUACAAAUUGAAUUGAGUUUGCUCUGCAUAUUGAUUAAGCACUUUUGUUGGAGUCCUGCUUCCAGAGGAAUAUUACAAAACUAUUUUCAAGAAUGGGAGGAACGGAAGAAGAAGUUAAACAUGGAGAAGAGGUUGAGGUUGAUAAGAAGGAUAAGAAGGAAAAGAAAGAGAAAAAGAAGAAGAAUCCUGGAGAUAAGAAGGAUCCUGUAAUACUUAAGCAAAAGCUUGAAAAGUUAGAUUCCAAAAUACAGCCUUUGGUGGCUAAGAGAGAAGAGAUUUUGAAGCUGCUUAAUGAACUUGAAACCAAUCCAACUCAAUCUCCUGCAGCUUCUUCUUAGAUUAAUUGUUGUAUAUAAUAAGUUUUUUUUAAAUUUAUUUUAUGAGUAGAAAAGUCCAAUUUGUUUUUACAACACUAGUUCGCACACGUCACUUGCACUCUACAAUGUGGUAAAUAAGA